GACGAACGCUGGCGGCGUGCUUAACACAUGUAAGUCGAACGAAGAGCGACGGAAGCUUGCUUCUAUCAAUCUUAGUGGCGAACGGGUGAGUAACGCGUAAUCAACCUGCCCUUCAGAGGGGGACAACAGUUGGAAACGACUGCUAAUACCGCAUACGAUCUAAUCUCGGCAUCGAGGAUAGAUGAAAGGUGGCCUCUACAUGUAAGCUAUCACUGAAGGAGGGGAUUGCGUCUGAUUAGCUAGUUGGAGGGGUAACGGCCCACCAAGGCGAUGAUCAGUAGCCGGUCUGAGAGGAUGGACGGCCACAUUGGGACUGAGACACGGCCCAGACUCCUACGGGAGGCAGCAGUGGGGAAUCUUCCGCAAUGGACGAAAGUCUGACGGAGCAACGCCGCGUGAGUGAUGACGGCCUUCGGGUUGUAAAGCUCUGUUAAUCGGGACGAAAGGCCUUCUUGC
RNAcentral lists this ribosomal RNA (456 nucleotides) under Veillonella parvula. RNAcentral describes it as "bacterial SSU rRNA". It matches the Rfam family "Bacterial small subunit ribosomal RNA", at positions 28 to 461 of the family's 1533-position model. The record is from RNAcentral. Lineage: Bacteria; Bacillati; Bacillota; Negativicutes; Veillonellales; Veillonellaceae.